This is a long non-coding RNA of Zingiber officinale, 548 nucleotides long. RefSeq lists it as uncharacterized. The transcript has 2 exons. The record is from RefSeq and is a predicted model, not a curated record. NCBI's taxonomy places the organism in Eukaryota, Viridiplantae, Streptophyta, Magnoliopsida, Zingiberales, Zingiberaceae.
UGUUAGGUUGGGAGUUGAUUAGCUUAAUUAACUUAGGGAUAGGAAUAACAAACCUAGGUAUUCACCUCUCGCCCCCGAUCCCUCAAGAUUUUCCCGAAGACGCCGACACCUCCUCGCUGGUCAUCUCCGCACGGUGCUUUCCACGGUGCCCUAAGCUUCAACCAAGCGCCACUACACGCAGACGGGCUUCUGGAAAUGGUGCGACCUGACGCGGGGCUUGCAACGGUCUCUCCGACGGCGCAAAAGCCUCGGCGAGAGCUUCAAGCGGUGGUACGAGGAAGAGGAAGGCAAGUUCACAUCCUUGUGAUUUCUUGAAAUCCAUGAGGGAGGAUGUCUACUAGGAGUAUGCGGACAGAGUAGGCGAGAUGGACGCAUGACACUGUCCAGACGUAUAGGAGUGCAAAGCAUACUCGUUCCGUUGCGAGAGGUUCUUCAUUUAUAUAGGGAGAGAUUUGAGAAUUCAUUGUUACUUUUGUUAAACCCCUAUUGGGAUGUUGUUAUUUACAUUGGAUAAGAUAAAUCAUUAUGAUGGUAUUGCACUACGGUUA